AACAGGAGCCAUUCUGAAGCAUGUUUAAAAAGGUACAUGGUGGGGCAACGGCAAUAGAGUCGGAGUAAUAGAGAUUUUUACACCUCCUAAACAAUAGGUAAUAAAAUUUUUGUUAUUUAUGAAAAAUAUAGUUUCUCCUACUAACAAUCCUAACAAGACAGCCUUGACGAUUCGAUAUAAAAUCGAGAAGCAACAUCAUCCAAUUACUGGUAAAACUAACGUUUUAUCAAAAUUUACUAUUUUUCUUGGUCUUCGCGAUAUUUUUUCUGAAUUCCGUGAAAGUGUGUUUUUAACAUAUCUAUUGAGGAAUGAGUGUCUAAAAACCUCUCUCGAAACAUAUCUAACCGCAAGUCGAAAGCAGUGACAACAGCGUUUACUAUACUACGUGUAAACCUUCUAAUUAAGAUACAUUAAUUAAUCAAUUUAUUUAAUUAAACAAUUUAAUUGCGGUGGAACUGAAAGUUUUAGACUUUUGUGUUUGAAGGAUUUUGAUAAUUUUAGCAAAAAAUGUUACGAAUAAUCACCUAUUAUAUAAUUUUGCAUACAAGGUGGUAAAAAGUUUUUAGAAAUUAUGUAGUAAUAGUUGAUACAAUAUUUUUUCGAAAAAAAUAUUCCGAGACCUUCCUUGGCUAUAAUUUGAUUUUCUUGAUCAUACACUAAAAAGGCGUAAAUAAAAACGUACAAUGAAUAGUCCGUUUCCACAUCACCUAGGCGGUAGGACUAACGAUGCGCUGUAUUUAAUCUUUAACGUGGCAAAUACAUCCCCAGUAGGCCUACGAACCACUAGUUAUUGCUGAAUCAUGUCUAGACUUUGCAGCAUCUUUUCAUGGCUCUUCAUGAGUAGCAUCUUUUAAUGGCUCUUAUAAAUUAAUGACUCUUAGAUAAACUAAGCUAUCACUAAUUGGUGGCAUCUUUUCUUGACUACUAUUUGUUGGCGUCUUUUUGUGACUGUUUUAAUGAGUAUAAAUGUAGAGUAGCAUCUUUUAAUGGCUCUUAUAAAUUAAUGACUCUUAGAUAAACUAAGCUAUCACUAAUUGGUGGCAUCUUUUCUUGGCUACUAUUUAUUGGCAUCUUUUUGUGGCUGAGUCUCCGAGAUGAUUCAGCAACAUAUCUUUUAAUCAUUAUAAAUGUAAACUUAUAAUAUUGCACCUUGAUUUAAAUAAAGACUUUAAAUAAUUUUUCAAAUUCUGUUUAAUAAUUUUAAAAAUACUUAUGUACUUUGAUGAAAGGGUAUAAGGAAGGGAUAGGAAGGAAAUAGCUAUGAAAACAGCUGAUGUUUAUUACAGCUAGCAUGUUAAAUCGAAUGUUUCCGCAGAAUAGCUAUGAACUGACCUCUCAACCUCACUCUGUUUUUCUUAGGUGGAUAACUUUACAAAAA
Molecule: long non-coding RNA, 1378 nt
Organism: Diorhabda carinulata
Lineage: Eukaryota; Metazoa; Arthropoda; Insecta; Coleoptera; Chrysomelidae
Exons: 2
Source: RefSeq, a predicted model, not a curated record